AUUCUUUUGUAGUUCAGAAGCAUGAUGUUUGGGUGUUCACAGGCAUGUGUGAGAAGUGCCUCCCUGAAACCUUAUUAUGAUGUGAGCCCAUUACUCUUCUGACA
Small nucleolar RNA from Otolemur garnettii (small-eared galago), 104 nucleotides. The record is from Ensembl. NCBI's taxonomy places the organism in Eukaryota, Metazoa, Chordata, Mammalia, Primates, Galagidae.